RNAcentral lists this ribosomal RNA (225 nucleotides) under uncultured prokaryote. RNAcentral describes it as "partial 16S ribosomal RNA". It matches the Rfam family "Bacterial small subunit ribosomal RNA", at positions 524 to 748 of the family's 1533-position model. The record is from RNAcentral.
UACGAAGGGGGCGAGCGUUGUUCGGAUUUACUGGGCGUAAAGAGUGUGUAGGCGGUGCUCUAAGUUCGGUGUGAAAUCUCCCGGCUUAACUGGGAGGGUGCGCCGGAAACUGGAGUGCUCGAACGUGGGAGAGGGAAGCGGAAUUCCUGGUGUAGCGGUGAAAUGCGUAGAUAUCAGGAGGAACACCUGCGGUGUAGACGGCUUUCUGGACCAUUGUUGACGCUG